Molecule: ribosomal RNA, 801 nt
Filed under: uncultured Bacteroidota bacterium
Lineage: Bacteria; Pseudomonadati; Bacteroidota
Description: bacterial SSU rRNA
Rfam family: Bacterial small subunit ribosomal RNA
Source: RNAcentral
AGGAGAGUUUGAUCCUGGCUCAGGAUGAACGCUAGCGGCAGGCCUAACACAUGCAAGUCGAGGGGCAGCGGGAGGUAGCAAUACCUUGCCGGCGACCGGCGCACGGGUGCGUAACGCGUAUGCAACCUACCUUCAACAGGGGGAUAACCCAGAGAAAUCCGGACUAAUACCCCGUAUAGUAGCGAGACCGCAUGAUCUUGCUACGAAAGCUUCGGUGGUUGGAGAUGGGCAUGCGUGACAUUAGCUAGUUGGCGGGGCAACGGCCCACCAAGGCUGCGAUGUCUAGGGGAGCUGAGAGGCUAAUCCCCCACACUGGUACUGAGACACGGACCAGACUCCUACGGGAGGCAGCAGUGAGGAAUAUUGGUCAAUGGACGGAAGUCUGAACCAGCCAUGCCGCGUGAAGGAAGAAGGCCCUAUGGGUUGUAAACUUCUUUUGUGCGAGAGUAAUAAGGGCUUUGCGAAGUCCGAUGAGAGUAUCGUACGAAUAAGCAUCGGCUAACUCCGUGCCAGCAGCCGCGGUAAUACGGAGGAUGCAAGCGUUAUCCGGAUUUAUUGGGUUUAAAGGGUGCGUAGGCGGACCUUUAAGUCAGCGGUGAAAUAUCCCGGCUCAACCGGGAGGCUGCCGUUGAUACUGGGGGUCUUGAGGGCGAACGGCGCCGGCGGAAUGUGUCAUGUAGCGGUGAAAUGCAUAGAUAUGACACAGAACACCGAUCGCGAAGGCAGCUGGCGAGGACGCGACUGACGCUGAGGCACGAAGGUGCGGGGAUCAAACAGGAUUAGAUACCCUGGUAGUCCCCU